CCAAAACACUAAACAAGCUUCUUCUUGCUUCUCAAAGCUUUGAUGGUAUAGUCGAAAUCCGUAUGAGUCUUUGGAUUUGUAUCUUCUAACAAGGAAACAGCU
Molecule: small RNA, 102 nt
Filed under: Arabidopsis thaliana (thale cress)
Lineage: Eukaryota; Viridiplantae; Streptophyta; Magnoliopsida; Brassicales; Brassicaceae
Description: ATSL089390
Source: RNAcentral